RNAcentral lists this transfer RNA (72 nucleotides) under Ovis aries (sheep). It matches the Rfam family "tRNA". Rfam says of the family: Transfer RNA (tRNA) molecules are approximately 80 nucleotides in length. Their secondary structure includes four short double-helical elements and three loops (D, anti-codon, and T loops). Further hydrogen bonds mediate the characteristic L-shaped molecular structure. tRNAs have two regions of fundamental functional importance: the anti-codon, which is responsible for specific mRNA codon recognition, and the 3' end, to which the tRNAs corresponding amino acid is attached (by aminoacyl-tRNA synthetases). tRNAs cope with the degeneracy of the genetic code in two manners: having more than one tRNA (with a specific anti-codon) for a particular amino acid; and 'wobble' base-pairing, i.e. permitting non-standard base-pairing at the 3rd anti-codon position. Lineage: Eukaryota; Metazoa; Chordata; Mammalia; Artiodactyla; Bovidae. The record is from Rfam by way of RNAcentral.
UCCCUAGUGGUUGAGUUGAUAAAGAAUCUGCCUGCAAUGCAGGAGACCCAAGUUCAAUCCCUGGGUUGGGAA